UUUCCCUGGAAAAGGAAGGAGUACGAUCAUCAUCUUAUGGAACGGGAUUAGCUUUUGCUAAAAUUUAGAAAAUUGAUCAAGCGGGCUAAGCAAUUCUAUCUUCAGGCUAAACUCUUCUGAUAGCACAGGUUCAGGAGAAAGGGUUUCCCCUCUAUCAGACACAACAAAAGGGUUAGCAACGGUGGUAGCCAACCAAAGAGCAUAUGAAAAAUAGCGGUGACGAGGCAUUAAUGUGGGCAUGCAAUCCUUCAUUAAUCCAAAGUCAUGUACGAAACACUAGCUUGUUAGGAGACGAAAAUCAGG
Molecule: long non-coding RNA, 303 nt
Organism: Coffea eugenioides
Lineage: Eukaryota; Viridiplantae; Streptophyta; Magnoliopsida; Gentianales; Rubiaceae
Exons: 3
Source: RefSeq, a predicted model, not a curated record